CGAGUUGGCUGGGUGAUCGCGGCAUGAAAGUGUCGAGGAAAGUCCGGGCUCCUUAGAGCAAGGUGGUGGGUAACACCCACCCGGGGCGACCCGCGGGACAGUGCCACAGAAAUUAGACCGCCUCGAGCAAUCGAGGUAAGGGUGAAACGGUGGUGUAAGAGACCACCAGCGCGGUAGGUGACUAUCGCGGCUAGGUAAACCCCAC
Molecule: RNase P RNA, 205 nt
Filed under: Actinomycetota bacterium
Lineage: Bacteria; Bacillati; Actinomycetota
Description: Actinobacteria bacterium partial RNase P RNA component class A
Rfam family: Bacterial RNase P class A
About the family: Ribonuclease P (RNase P) is a ubiquitous endoribonuclease, found in archaea, bacteria and eukarya as well as chloroplasts and mitochondria. Its best characterised activity is the generation of mature 5'-ends of tRNAs by cleaving the 5'-leader elements of precursor-tRNAs.
Source: RNAcentral